Long non-coding RNA from Cydia fagiglandana, 116 nucleotides. RefSeq lists it as uncharacterized. The record is from RefSeq and is a predicted model, not a curated record. The transcript has 2 exons. Lineage: Eukaryota; Metazoa; Arthropoda; Insecta; Lepidoptera; Tortricidae.
AUUAAAUUAUUAUUUAUAUAACGAGCGCUGGUGGCCUAGCGGUAAGAGCGUGCGACUUGCAAUCCGGAGGUCGCGGGUUCAAACCCGGCUCGUACCAAUGAGUUUUUCGGAACUUA